This 253-nucleotide ribosomal RNA is filed under the name uncultured bacterium. Its description in RNAcentral is "partial 16S ribosomal RNA". It matches the Rfam family "Bacterial small subunit ribosomal RNA", at positions 524 to 776 of the family's 1533-position model. The record is from RNAcentral.
UACGUAGGUGGCAAGCGUUGUUCGGAAUUAUUGGGCGUAAAGGGCGCGUAGGCGGUUCGCUAAGUUGGAUGUGAAAACUCUGGGCUUAACCCAGAGCCUGCAUCCAAAACUGGCAAACUUGAGUACUGGAGGGGAAAGCGGAAUUCCUGGUGUAGCGGUGAAAUGCGUAGAUAUCAGGAGGAACACCGGUGGCGAAGGCGGCUUUCUGGACAGUAACUGACGCUGAUGCGCGAAAGCUAGGGGAGCAAACAGG